Molecule: ribosomal RNA, 448 nt
Filed under: uncultured Acaulospora
Lineage: Eukaryota; Fungi; Glomeromycota; Glomeromycetes; Diversisporales; Acaulosporaceae
Description: SSU rRNA
Rfam family: Eukaryotic small subunit ribosomal RNA
Source: RNAcentral
CGCAGCCGCGGUAAUUCCAGCUCCAAUAGCGUAUAUUAAAGUUGUUGCAGUUAAAAAGCUCGUAGUUGAAUUUCGGGGUUCAUCCGUUGGUCGGGCUUUUUUGGUCUGUACUGGCGUGAUGGAUUCCUACCUUCUGAAUAACCAGCAUGUCAUUAAUUUGGUGCGCUGGGGAAGCAGGACUGUUACCUUGAAAAAUUAGAGUGCUUAAAGCAGGCUAUCGCCUGAAUACAUUAGCAUGGAAUAAUGAAAUAGGACGGCAUGGUUCUAUUUUGUUGGUUUCUAGGAUCACCGUAAUGAUUAAUAGGGAUAGUUGGGGGCAUUAGUAUUCAAUUGUCAGAGGUGAAAUUCUUGGAUUUAUUGAAGACUAACUUCUGCGAAAGCAUUUGCCAAGGAUGUUUUCAUUAAUUCAAGAACGAAAGUUAGGGGAGUCGAAGACGAUCAGAUACCG